RNAcentral lists this ribosomal RNA (497 nucleotides) under uncultured bacterium. RNAcentral describes it as "partial 16S ribosomal RNA". It matches the Rfam family "Bacterial small subunit ribosomal RNA", at positions 28 to 507 of the family's 1533-position model. The record is from RNAcentral.
GAUGAACGCUGGCGGCGUGCCUAAUACAUGCAAGUCGAGCGAACGGACGAGAAGCUUGCUUCUCUGAUGUUAGCGGCGGACGGGUGGGUAACACGUGGAUAACCUACCUAUAAGACUGGGAUAACUUCGGGAAACCGGAGCUAAUACCGGAUAAUAUUUUGAACCGCAUGGUUCAAAAGUGAAAGACGGUCUUGCUGUCACUUAUAGAUGGAUCCGCGCUGCAUUAGCUAGUUGGUAAGGUAACGGCUUACCAAGGCAACGAUGCAUAGCCGACCUGAGAGGGUGAUCGGCCACACUGGAACUGAGACACGGUCCAGACUCCUACGGGAGGCAGCAGUAGGGGAUCUUCCGCAAUGGGCGAAAGCCUGACGGAGCAACGCCGCGUGAGUGAUGAAGGUCUUCGGAUCGUAAAACUCUGUUAUUAGGGAAGAACAUAUGUGUAAGUAACUGUGCACAUCUUGACGGUACCUAAUCAGAAAGCCACGGCUAACUACGUG